This 496-nucleotide ribosomal RNA is filed under the name uncultured bacterium. RNAcentral describes it as "partial 16S ribosomal RNA". It matches the Rfam family "Bacterial small subunit ribosomal RNA", at positions 29 to 507 of the family's 1533-position model. The record is from RNAcentral.
AUGAACGCUGGCGGCGUGCCUAAUACAUGCAAGUCGAGCGAACGGACGAGAAGCUUGCUUUUCUGAUGUUAGCGGCGGACGGGUCAGUAACACGUGGAUAACCUACCUAUAAGACUGGGAUAACUUCGGGAAACCGGAGCUAAUACCGGAUAAUAUUUUGAACCGCAUGGUUCAAAAGUGAAAUACGGUCUUGCUGUCACUUAUAGAUGGAUCCGCGCUGCAUUAGCUAGUUGGUAAGGUAACGGCUUACCAAGGCAACGAUGCAUAGCCGACCUGAGAGGAUGAUCGGCCACACUGGAACUGAGACACGGUCCAGACUCCUACGGGAGGCAGCAGUAGGGAAUCUUGGGCAAUGGGCGAAAGCCUGACGGAGCAACGCCGCGUGAGUGAUGAAGGUCUUCGGAUCGUAAAACUCUGUUAUUAGGGAAGAACAUAUGUGUAAGAAAAUGUGCACAUCUUGACGGUACCUAAUCAGAAAGCAACGGCUAACUACGUG